CCUACGGGAGGCAGCAGUGAGGAAUAUUGGUCAAUGGGCGCGAGCCUGAACCAGCCAAGUAGCGUGAAGGAUGACUGCCCUACGGGUUGUAAACUUCUUUUAUAAAGGAAUAAAGUGAGGCACGUGUGCCUUUUUGUCUGUACUUUAUGAAUAAGCAUCGGCUAACUCCGUGCCAGCAGCCGCGGUAAUCCGGGGGAUCCGAGCGUUAUCCGGAUUUAUUGGGUUUAAAGGGAGCGUAGAUGGGUUGUUAAGUCAGUUGUGAAAGUUUGCGGCUCAACCGUAAAAUUGCAAUUUAUACUGGCAGGCGUGAGUACAGUUGAGGUAGGCGGAAUUCGUGGUGUAGCGGUGAAAUGCUUAGAUAUCACGAAGAACUCCGAUAGCGAAGGCAGCUUACUAAACUGCCACUGACAUUGAUGCUCGAAAGUGUGGGUAGCAAACAGGAUUAGAUACCCUUGUAGUC
RNAcentral lists this ribosomal RNA (460 nucleotides) under uncultured bacterium. Its description in RNAcentral is "partial 16S ribosomal RNA". It matches the Rfam family "Bacterial small subunit ribosomal RNA", at positions 338 to 795 of the family's 1533-position model. The record is from RNAcentral.